This is a ribosomal RNA of Gorilla gorilla gorilla (western lowland gorilla), 119 nucleotides long. The record is from Ensembl. NCBI's taxonomy places the organism in Eukaryota, Metazoa, Chordata, Mammalia, Primates, Hominidae.
GUCUAUGGCCAUACCACCCUGAAUGCAUCCAAUUUCAUUGGAUCUUGGAAGCUAAGCAGGGUCAGGCCUGGUUAGUACUUGGAUGAGAGACCUCCUGGGAAUAUUGGGUGCUGUAGGAA